Molecule: ribosomal RNA, 484 nt
Filed under: uncultured bacterium
Lineage: Bacteria
Description: partial 16S ribosomal RNA
Rfam family: Bacterial small subunit ribosomal RNA
Source: RNAcentral
AUUGAACGCUGGCGGCAGGCCUAACACAUGCAAGUCGAGCGGAUGAAGGGAGCUUGCUCCUGGAUUCAGCGGCGGACGGGUGAGUAAUGCCUAGGAAUCUGCCUGGUAGUGGGGGAUAACGUCCGGAAACGGGCGCUAAUACCGCAUACGUCCUGAGGGAGAAAGUGGGGGAUCUUCGGACCUCACGCUAUCAGAUGAGCCUAGGUCGGAUUAGCUAGUUGGUGGGGUAAAGGCCUACCAAGACGACGAUCCGUAACUGGUCUGAGAGGAUGAUCAGUCACACUGGAACUGAGACACGGUCCAGACUCCUACGGGAGGCAGCGGUGGGGAAUAUUGGACAAUGGGCGAAAGCCUGAUCCAGCCAUGCCGCGUGUGUGAAGAAGGUCUUCGGAUUGUAAAGCACUUUAAGUUGGGAGGAAGGGCAGUAAGUUAAUACCUUGCUGUUUUGACGUUACCAACAGAAUAAGCACCGGCUAACUUCGUG